Molecule: unclassified non-coding RNA, 163 nt
Filed under: plant metagenome
Description: partial contains small subunit ribosomal RNA and internal transcribed spacer 1
Rfam family: Eukaryotic small subunit ribosomal RNA (bases 1-46)
Source: RNAcentral
AAGUCGUAACAAGGUUUCCGUAGGUGAACCUGCGGAAGGAUCAUCCGUGAUUGGGCCCUCUGGGCCCUUCAUCAUCCAACACACCCCUGUGAACCUGUUGGCCCCCGGGCCUUCACCUUUAACGCUGUGUAACGAACGUGUAUAUAUGAUAACAAUGAUAAAA